Molecule: ribosomal RNA, 654 nt
Filed under: uncultured archaeon
Lineage: Archaea
Description: bacterial SSU rRNA
Rfam family: Archaeal small subunit ribosomal RNA
Source: RNAcentral
GCCUAAAGCGUCCGUAGCCGGCUCUGUCAGUUUUCGGUUAAAUCCAUAUGCUCAACAUAUGGGCCGCCGGGAAUACUACAAAGCUAGGGAGUGGGAGAGGUAGACGGUACUCCGUAGGAAGGGGUAAAAUCCUUUGAUCUAUGGAUGACCACCAGUGGCGAAGGCGGUCUACCAGAACACGUUCGACGGUGAGGGAUGAAAGCUGGGGGAGCAAACCGGAUUAGAUACCCGGGUAGUCCCAGCUGUAAACUAUGCAAACUCAGUGAUGCAUUGGCUUGUGGCCAGUGCAGUGCCGCAGAGAAGUCGUUAAGUUUGCCGCCUGGGAAGUACGUACGCAAGUAUGAAACUUAAAGGAAUUGGCGGGGGAGCACCACAAGGGGUGAAGCCUGCGGUUCAAUUGGAGUCAACGCCAGAAAUCUUACCCGGAGAGACAGCAGAAUGAAGGUCAAGUUGAAGCCUUUACCAGACAAGCUGAGAAGUGGUGCAUGGCCGUCGCCAGCUCGUGCCGUGAGGUGUCCUGUUAAGUCAGGUAACGAGCGAGAUCCCUGCCUCUAGUUGCUACCAUUACUCUCAGGAGUAGUGGGGCGAAUUAGCGGGACUGCCGUAGUUAAUACGGAGGAAGGAGAGGGCCACGGCAGGUCAGUAUGCCCCGAA